Molecule: long non-coding RNA, 407 nt
Filed under: Anas platyrhynchos platyrhynchos (common mallard)
Lineage: Eukaryota; Metazoa; Chordata; Aves; Anseriformes; Anatidae
Description: lncRNA (ENSAPLG00000023345.1)
Source: RNAcentral
AUGAGCCACAGUAGGCCUUGAUGGGACUGCUCCUUGCACAUCAGAGUUCCAGAACAUGGUAGGGAGUCUGAGUUUGUCUAAGAGCCAACGACCUGAACUUAUAGCAACUGAAGAAAAGCCUAUCUGAGCUCUCCAGGGAUCACAGCAAGCUGUAACCCUUGAUCUCUGCGGUGGAGUAGCUUUUCCCCCAAGUCAGCUAUGGUUCAAGAUUGCCUAAUGUUACAUCAGUCCUCCAUUGUCAAUGGACAAUGGCCAUAACAAGUGAGUACGAGCAGGCACUCCCUGAUUGCACCUCCAAACCUGCAGCCUGGACAGUAGCCUCAUCUGGGGAGUACCACAACUAUACAUUCUGGAAGAAAAAAAUAUUACCUCUAAGAAGUGAAACAUGCCAGGCUAUGCAAGAGGAC